Molecule: long non-coding RNA, 199 nt
Filed under: Gossypium barbadense (sea-island cotton)
Lineage: Eukaryota; Viridiplantae; Streptophyta; Magnoliopsida; Malvales; Malvaceae
Description: long non-coding RNA (GBAR_LNC017121)
Source: RNAcentral
UUCAAAUUUUGAUCGGGGCACACAAUGAUCUUGCUAUACCUGAACCAACAAGAAAGGGCAUACGACAUCUUGGAGCAUCAACAGAGUACUGCAGAUCUCCUAAACACAUGCUAAACUCAGAAUAGUCUUCAGAAGUUUGUACAGAGAAAUUCAAGCUGCGAUAACUGGGGCACCUAGUUCUUAUUAGAUUGAAUGUAUU